Molecule: ribosomal RNA, 890 nt
Filed under: uncultured bacterium
Lineage: Bacteria
Description: bacterial SSU rRNA
Rfam family: Bacterial small subunit ribosomal RNA
Source: RNAcentral
GUGCCAGCAGCCGCGGUAAUACGGAGGAUGCGAGCGUUAUCCGGAUUUAUUGGGUUUAAAGGGUGCGUAGGCGGCUUGUUAAGCGUGAGGUGAAAGCUCGGGGCUCAACCCCGGAACUGCCUCGCGAACUGGCUGGCUUGAAUGCUCCUGCCGUGGGAGGAAUGUGUGGUGUAGCGGUGAAAUGCAUAGAGAUCACACAGAACACCGAUUGCGAAGGCAUCUCACGAAGGGGUGAUUGACGCUGAGGCACGAAAGCGUGGGGAUCAAACAGGAUUAGAUACCCUGGUAGUCCACGCAGUAAACGAUGAUGACUAACCGCUGGGGAGAAAUUUUCAGUGGCCAAGCGAAAGCGAUAAGUCAUCCACCUGGGGAGUACGACCGCAAGGUUGAAACUCAAAGGAAUUGACGGGGGCCCGCACAAGCGGAGGAACAUGUGGUUUAAUUCGAUGAUACGCGAGGAACCUUACCCGGGCUCGAACGGCAGGAGAAGAGAUCCAGAGAUGGUGACGCCCUUCGGGGCUUCUGUCGAGGUGCUGCAUGGUUGUCGUCAGCUCGUGCCGUGAGGUGUCGGCUCAAGUGCCAUAACGAGCGCAACCCUUGCCGCCAGUUACCAGCACGUCGUGGUGGGGACUCUGGCGGGACUGCCACCGCAAGGUGUGAGGAAGGGGGGGAUGACGUCAAAUCAGCACGGCCCUUACGUCCGGGGCGACACACGUGUUACAAUGGGGGUCACAGCGGGGGUCUACCUGGUGACAGGAUGGGAAUCUCGAAAAGCCUCCUCAGUUCGGAUCGGAGUCUGCAACUCGACUCCGUGAAGCUGGAUUCGCUAGUAAUCGCGCAUCAGCCAUGGCGCGGUGAAUACGUUCCCGGGCCUUGUACACACCGCCCGU